RNAcentral lists this transfer RNA (84 nucleotides) under Flavihumibacter sp. RNAcentral's name for it is "tRNA-Leu". It matches the Rfam family "tRNA". From Rfam's summary of the family: Transfer RNA (tRNA) molecules are approximately 80 nucleotides in length. Their secondary structure includes four short double-helical elements and three loops (D, anti-codon, and T loops). Further hydrogen bonds mediate the characteristic L-shaped molecular structure. tRNAs have two regions of fundamental functional importance: the anti-codon, which is responsible for specific mRNA codon recognition, and the 3' end, to which the tRNAs corresponding amino acid is attached (by aminoacyl-tRNA synthetases). tRNAs cope with the degeneracy of the genetic code in two manners: having more than one tRNA (with a specific anti-codon) for a particular amino acid; and 'wobble' base-pairing, i.e. permitting non-standard base-pairing at the 3rd anti-codon position. Lineage: Bacteria; Pseudomonadati; Bacteroidota; Chitinophagia; Chitinophagales; Chitinophagaceae. RNAcentral also lists the same sequence under 3 other names. The record is from RNAcentral.
GCCGAGGUGGCGGAAUUGGCAGACGCACUAGCUUGAGGUGCUAGCGGGGGCAACCCCAUGCAGGUUCAAGUCCUGUCCUCGGCA